Molecule: ribosomal RNA, 253 nt
Filed under: uncultured bacterium
Lineage: Bacteria
Description: partial 16S ribosomal RNA
Rfam family: Bacterial small subunit ribosomal RNA
Source: RNAcentral
UACGUAGGUGGCAAGCGUUGUUCGGAAUUAUUGGGCGUAAAGGGCGCGUAGGCGGCUUAACAAGUCACUUGUGAAAUCUCCGGGCUUAACUCGGAACGGCCAAGUGAAACUGUCAAGCUAGAGUGCAGAAGGGGCAAUCGGAAUUCUUGGUGUAGCGGUGAAAUGCGUAGAUAUCAAGAGGAACACCUGAGGUGAAGACGGGUUGCUGGGCUGACACUGACGCUGAGGCGCGAAAGCUAGGGGAGCAAACAGG